CCGCUGGCCACGCCCCCGGCCCGGCCCCGCCUCCGUGCUAGCCGGAGGGCGGGGACUCGGCGCCCACCCGCUGCCGGCGCAGAGUCGCGCAGGGGCGUGAAGUGACUUUCCCAACUCUAACCGCCCCGGGCGGCGGCGACCGGUUCUGGGGACCCUCGGCUGGGGCAGGCCGGUCGGGACCGCCGCGCCUACCGCGGCGAGUCGACUGCUACCGCGAGGCUUGGCGCUGGAAGACUUGGCCGCACUGCGAAGCGUGCGGAAAAUGAAAACCACGCUCACCGACAGGCACCGUAGCCCGGUUUUACACAGGAAGAAGCCGGCGAGGGGACCUUUGGGGCGUGGCCCUCGGUGGCUCAGCCGGCCGCAGAGGGCCCAGAACAGCCCUGACUUUCGGGUUCUCCCCGUAGCAGGUGCCGUCCGGAACCACUGCGGGUUCUGAACUCCGGGAGCUUCACAGCUGGGCCCGCACGACUACCGGUGUGCCCGGCUCCGGACCCUGCCGUUACGACUCCCUGUGUGGGAAUGUUCAUACCUACACCUCUCUACGUUGAAAGAAAAGACGAUCUGGUUUGCUGUGCGAGUCGGGAAAACCGGGAGCAUGAUUUGCUUUGAGAAGAUUGGACCCCAGAAGAAGAUUGGACAAGCUUUUAGAAAGCCUGCAACCUCACAGUCUCGGCCUUGAGAAUAUCUGGGGCUCCCACAAACCUAAAGUUGGGUUUGUUUUUGUUUGUUUGUUUGUUUGUUUUGCUUUGUUUUGUUUAAUCUGGUGAAGGAGCCACGUGACAGAUGGCAAGCAAGGGGAGAGGGGAAGACAGAUGUGGCAAUCCUUCGGGCAAGAAAGCAAAGGUCAGGAAAUGAUUAAACCGGCUGGGCCGGAUAGUGGUUAGUUAGCUCAGGGUACCUCCCUGGAGUACACGCCUCUAGCACCCCUUAAGCCACUUCGUUCUCCCCUUAACUCCACCCUACAGCCUCCUACCUGCUGUUGUCCAGCUACUUAGGGUAUCUCUGCCCACGGUGGUAUUUCAGACUCGUCAGUCAAGGCUCCUCAGCUAGUGUAUGACUGCUGUUAAAACAAGGCUUGGAAGGGGAGGAGGACCUGCCCUAUCAGUGGACUGGGAGACAGGCAUGGGAGGAGAUGAGAGAAGGGGAGUGGGACUGCGAGGGAAUGAGGAAAGGGGCUACAGCUGGGAUACAAAGUGAAUAAACUGUAAUUAAUAUUAAAAAACAAUUAAAAUUUAAAAAAAAACAAGGCUUGGACCGGUUUUGACAGCAGGGAGCUGUGGAAAGUGAGCUGCCUAAAGUGUAUUCAUAUUGACUCUGUCGGCUACUUGAUGGUGAACCUGAACUAGUUCCCUCAAGCCUUUUCCUCACCAAGAAAAACAAUACUUAUCUCUGCAAAUUCCUACCCUGUAGUAAUUAACAGAUAAAGUUUGUUUCUCUUCUAAAAUAAAAUAAAAUAAAUACAGUA
Psammomys obesus (fat sand rat) is the source of this 1468-nucleotide long non-coding RNA. RefSeq lists it as uncharacterized. Lineage: Eukaryota; Metazoa; Chordata; Mammalia; Rodentia; Muridae. The transcript is spliced from 2 exons. The record is from RefSeq and is a predicted model, not a curated record.